CAGUCGCCGCGGUAAUACGUAGGGUGCAAGCGUUGUCCGGAAUCAUUGGGCGUAAAGCGCGCGUAGGUGGCCAUUUAAGUCCGCUGUGAAAGUCAAAGGCUCAACCUUUGAAAGCCGGUGGAUACUGGAUGGCUAGAGUACGGAAGAGGCGAGUGGAAUUCCUGGUGUAGCGGUGGAAUGCGCAGAUAUCAGGAGGAACACCAAUAGCGAAGGCAGCUCGCUGGGACGUUACCGACACUGAGGCGCGAAAGCGUGGGGAGCGAACAGGAUUAGAUACCCGCGUAGUCCCUGUCUCUUAUAA
This 301-nucleotide ribosomal RNA is filed under the name uncultured bacterium. RNAcentral's name for it is "partial 16S ribosomal RNA". It matches the Rfam family "Bacterial small subunit ribosomal RNA", at positions 509 to 809 of the family's 1533-position model. The record is from RNAcentral.